UACGUAGGGUGCGAGCGUUGUCCGGAAUUAUUGGGCGUAAAGAGCUCGUAGGCGGUCUGUCGCGUCGGCUGUGAAAUCCCGAGGCUCAACCUCGGGUCUGCAGUCGAUACGGGCAAACUGGAGUGUUGCAGGGGAGACUGGAAUUCCUGGUGUGGCGGUGAAAUGCGCAGAUAUCAGGAGGAACACCGGUGGCGAAGGCGGGUCUCUGGGCAACAACUGACGCUGAGGAGCGAAAGCGUGGGGAGCGAACAGG
Molecule: ribosomal RNA, 253 nt
Filed under: uncultured bacterium
Lineage: Bacteria
Description: partial 16S ribosomal RNA
Rfam family: Bacterial small subunit ribosomal RNA
Source: RNAcentral